GCCUGACUAUCGGAUCAGAAGUUUAUAACUUUAUCGGACCUCAGUAUCUACCUAGCGAGUGAAAUUGUUCCAAUCUCAUUUCACGACAGUAGACACCAGCACCAGCACGUCCCUCCAUAGGAGAACCGUCAGUGUAAAAGACCACUUGCGUUUGUUGCUAUCUCUCCAUAUAGCCAGACAACCACUCCUCUCGAGAGGAGAUGGUUUAGCUUUGGCUGGACUAUCAUCGCCUCUCCCCUCUGCCACCACACAAGGCAUCCGUAUGACAGUAUUGGGCAUACAAUUGUCGUGUAAAUCCAAUAGAUGUAUUUAGGUUUGUGACUCCAGGUCUUUCUAAAAGGUCGUCUGCACUGCCCGAAGGUCAUGCACACUUUCUGGACUCUGAACUCAAUGUGAGCAGACCAAUUAAGUUUGGAAUCCAAUAUAACUCCAACGUAUAUGACUUGAUCUGCACACUAGCUCAGAAUCAAAGAACUGCAAGGAAAGAACCCCGGUUGUUAUUCGCUUCUUCGUGAAAAGAACCAAUGAAGUUUUGUUUGGAUUUAUUGAUAAUUUAAUUUGUCGACACCACUGUUCGACAGCUCUUAAUGCUUGUUGCAUUAUGUCAAAGAUUGUUACGAUGCAAAGUUUAGUAAUUAGUAUUUGGUAAUCAUCAGCAAUCUCGUAGGUUGGAAAUCCAACCUCAUUGAGUUUCUUCAACAAGCCGUCGGCAACCAGGUUCCAUAGCACAGGUGACAGAACGCCACCCUGAGGACAGCCGCAAAUACUCAAUUUCCUUAUCUCUGCCUGUCUCAGUAGCGCGAGCUUAUCAUUUACUAGUAAACAAGGACAACAAAAAGAUAAAUAAGGCAUAUGAAUUAACGCUAACAUGAAAAAACACCGCGAAAGUUAGAGGAAUUCAAAGUACGGUCACUGAAGAGGAACUCCGACCGCCACUCACCCCAGUUGGUCUGGGUUCAAUCCCAGCCGAGGUCGUUAAGAUUUUUCUGAAGUGAAAAAAAAUCUGUGGUCACGCCUUCCUUCGGAAGGGAAGUAAAGCCGUUGGUUUCCGGUCCUUUAGUUAAUGGAUCCAUAUCUAGUCCAGAUAGUGGGAGUCACCUCUCUUGGCGUCGGUGUUCGGGCUUGUAGCGGCAAUAGGCCGACGGAAAAUAACUAGAACUAGAAGAAGAAGAGGAACUCCGAGGCUAGAUAGAGAACCUGCGAACGACCACCUCCGCCUCGAUUCUGAAAAUGGUCUGUCACACGCGGCACAAACCCUGCAACAUAAACGCCCUCAGAGUAGUACUAGCAUACUGCCUAUCCUGGACAGUUCCAAGGAACAAUCGGGUCAUCAGCUCCCAAGAUACUUUGAAAGCAACAUCGAUCUCAUUUCAGUAAACGGGCUAGAAAUCAUCAGCCGAACAAUACACAGUAAUUUAAAAUAAAACAACCGAUGAGGCCUGCCUACAAAGUGAAUGUUGUUUGUGCAGUUCGAAGAUGUUUACAGUCACAUUGAAUUUAGUAAAAAAAUUUGCGAAGUGAAAUAUAUCGGUUAGGUUUGAGGUAAUUUUAUUCACAGUACAAACUAGUAUUCAAAUUGCAAUCAUAAUUUAUUAUCAGACAUGCACGUCUCUUACGUAUGUUUAUCCGGUGCGAGGAUGUGUCGUCUUGAACACGCGUAUCGUAUGGUAAAAUGUAUGUAACCUAAGAAUACUACUAUUAUGAUCUGCGUCGGAAUCUAUCAUCGUCGUCAGCUCAUGCACAAGUAAUUUUGGCAAGAUGUACAACGUAAGCAACAAUGGCGACGGCUCACUAGAACAAGUGAAACCGCAGUGCGAUGAGCUCGAAUUGGACAAUGAAACCGAAAAUUAGAAUGAACAGAACAAGGUUAUGCCCAAGAUCAAUAUAAUACGGUAUAGAAUCAACUCUAUUCUCGCCCCAUCAAUUGGGCUACAGAUAUUCGACGAUGCGAUCAUUUUACUUGACGCAGGCGUAAGCCAUGCACCGAUCGGUGAUAUGAAACGUUUCGAUUGUAAAUCUUGGUCGUUUAACGUAAAAUGGUAUGGAAUUGAUUCGAUCCCCUUACCAUCUACUAUACUAAAAGUAUGUGCUUGAACCGCUACGAGUUGAAUAAGACCUAUUGCCGAUUCGAAAGAUCACGUUGAAUCAGGUGCGAUGCUUUGCGCAACAAAACAUUACGCCAAGUUCCGUAAAAUGGAUAAUGCCAAAAAAAACAAAGUUUAUCCCUGCCGUUAUUAGCGAGAUUAACAGAAAAUUUACCAGAAAGCAACAUUCAUCACAGAUCCAGUGUAAAUCGGAUCGAGUGACUAUUAAUACGUCGCAGUAUGGAUCGUAUAGAUUCGUCAAUUAAUGCGAAUCCGCACCCGCAAGGCAAGUAUACAUUGAUUGGCAUCGAUAUUUAUACGAUUGGUCUCAGUUUACACACCGGUGCAGCAGUACUCGCUGUAUAUUAUACCACUGGUGAAACUGAAUUCGCUUGCGCCACCACUGUCGGUUGUUUCCGAAUGCUGAAAAUCCUAUUAUAGGGAGGUAUCGGCUCUAAACGGAAUCACGAGGAGCACAAAUUCGUAUCUGUUAGAAAUCAACUCUAUCCUCGUCUCACCACCUAAGCCAAGUAAUCGACGCAUCAGUCAUUUUACUAGACGCAAAUGUAGAUUGCAAAUCUGUCGAAUCGGUGGAUGCCUUUUCUACGCGGUAUGUUGGUACGGUCUGGGUGCAACAUCAUUGGUAGUCAGUGGGGGUUUAGUGGAUACGUAAGAAAACCCCCAUUUCACAAUCAAUUUGACUCUCGUGUCACAACUGAAACAAAGUUAUUCGACAAUCCGGUUAUUGGACUUGACACCGAAUGUAAGCCAUUCACUGGUCGACGACAGGAAGUCUCCAUUGCAUACUCGACCAAAUAACGUAAAACUGUAUGUAGUGAACUCGAUCCCCGUACCAUCAAACAGACCAAAGGUAUUUGACGAUCCAGUAGUUCGUUACUGUUAUCGUUGCAAAGAAGCGUGUACAUGCAACGCAGGCAAGAGUCGUAUAACAUUUCAAACAGCACGAUGGUGGACGUUGUUGGUAUUAUGCAGCGGACCAAGUUCGACUUCCGUAUAUGUACCAGCAACCAUCUUCCAGUGAAACGAUAAGCACGGUCGGACGAGAUCCAUUGCCGGUUCGGAAGGUCACGCUUAAUCUAAUCCUGUGCUUUCUGCAGCAAAAAUUACAGCAAAGGACAGUUCCGUAAAAUGGAGAAGAAAAAACAAAUCCCUGCAGCAGAAUUGACAAAGUUUACCAGAAAGCAACAAUUACCACAAAAUAUUGAUGCGUCGCAGUAUCAAUUGACCAGAUUCGCCAAUUCAUACGAAUCCGCUUCCGUAUGGCAAAUAUACAAUGACUUACAUCGAUUUUGAAGAUUGGUCUCAAUAUGCACACCGGAGCAGCAGUAUUCGUAGUGUGCCGCUGAUGAACCUGAAUUCGACUGCGUCACUCGGCUUCUUCCGAAUGCUGAUAAACCUACAAUAUGAUAUUAAACAUCAAGACGGAGGUAUCAUCUCUAAACGAAUUCUUCCACUGGAUGGAAGGAAAACGCUGCGAAGACGAAUGGUCAUCGAGACACUAAAAAGGUAUCAGUUGGACCGGUUUUCUCCAAUGGUCAAAUCGUUUGCCAACGGCUUCCAGCUGGCCGAAGGAAAAGUGAUCCACGACUUUCAAAUAUUUUUCGGUCCGACGACUGAUCCAGUUGUUGCUGGACUAGAGAGCAACGCGGUCUAGUUGACCCGAUUGGUGCAACGACCAGUGACACAAUAUCCGCAACCCCAGAAUAUUGCUGCUGAGAUCUAUUUGGCCUGACAAGGAUGAGCGAUCAGCAUACUACAUAAUAACGUCUCGUUUGUUCUCGGGAAGUGUAUCAUUAUUUAAAAAAAAAAAUAAAAACAGAUUGCAUUAUUUAUUUUAUUUUUUUGAUAAAAAAGAAAACAUCUGAAGUAUAAGAAAAUAAGAAGAAGAGUACCAAAAUAGAGAGCACGACGGCGUCCGAUUCUCCAUAGCUUGACAUCGGAGCUACGUAGCUCUUAUACCGCCUGACGAAUUUGACAACUUCGAAGCCCAACAGUCCGAUUUCGAUGGUGCAAAAUAGCACGAUAUAGUUCUUAUAUAAAGCGCGGUAUAGCUCUUACGUCGGACCUCAUCGGCCUGACCAUCAGCCCGAUCGUCAGGCUGACUCGGCCCGACAAAUUUCAC
Molecule: long non-coding RNA, 4227 nt
Organism: Topomyia yanbarensis
Lineage: Eukaryota; Metazoa; Arthropoda; Insecta; Diptera; Culicidae
Exons: 8
Source: RefSeq, a predicted model, not a curated record